CCAGGCCGGUGGGGGGGAACCCGCAGAUGGCUGGGAGGCGGCGGGACCCCCACUCCCGCACCCCCACGUGGAACUGGAGUCCUUAGCCUCCACGUGGGCGAGCCCCAGGGGGUGCGGGAACACCCCAAAGCUGCCCAGAGCAUUCUUCUGGGUGAGAGGGGCCACAGCCCUGGAGGGUCGAGGGCUCCCAGUUCAGUCCCAGCUGGCGGCCUCCGGAGCUGCAUACCCUGUGCUAGGCGGAUCCGUCCUUACUGGCAUUUUUUGAUAAGUUGUUCACCGUGGAUUUUUUUUUUUUUUGGCAUUAGUUUUGACAUUUUAAAGUAUUGCAUUAAAAUAUUAUGUAUCUUGGCAACGUACGGGUGUUUGGGCACCCCCUUAAUUCUAAAACUCCACUACUGAAGGUUGUUUGGGGUCCCCUGGAGUUUUGCAUCCUUACUCGCCUCACCCAAGCCAGGUGCAGCACUGUGCUGAGUGUCACCAUUUCUGGCAGGCCUGCCAUCCGCAUUUGCAGAUGAGAAAGCUGAGAUUCUGAAAGAUUGAGUAACCUUCCAGAGAUCUCCGAGCUGGUAGGCGGUGGAGUGUGCAAACCCCUGUCCAAAACCGAGGGAAGAGAGUCUGCCAUGAGGAGAGCCUUGCACAUGGUCCUGCUUUCCGGGCACACCCACACUUGUGUCGUGGACAGAAGGCACGCUCGGUAGCUCAGGGCAAGGAGGAGAGCUGCACGGGAGACGUCAGACGCCGCUGCGCAACCACAUGAAGGAGCUCCUGGUCAGCUGGGAAGAGAAGUCAUGGACACUGAUAAGAAUUCUUAGGAAGGGACCUUGCUUCCUGCAUCUGUUGCCUCGUCACACACAGUCUGCCUGCCAGGUAGGUUCCUGACACCACACCAGUGACUGUGCAUAAACAGUUCUGAUGGAAGUUCAGUCCAGAAGGCACUGAGCCAUUGCCAUUGCAGAAAAGGGCACUCACCAGCCAGCCAAUACUGGGCCAUCUCUGUGGGGCCGAAGGCAAUGAGCCUAGGAACUGGGCAGACCGUGACUGCCGGGCCCAGGUGACAUUUCAGGCAUGAGAUAGAAUAGGAAUUCCCAGUCUGUUGGGGGCCCGGGGCCCACGUGGUCCACUCCCUGUCCAAGCAGACCAGCCGCAGACCCCACAUCUGCCUCGAGACAAGCUAUUCACCUGAAAAGCCUUCCCAGUGGACACACAGUAGUGGACACACGCUCAAUAAACGUUCGUGAACGCAUCGCUCGUGGAGUCUUAGCCUGCAGAACGGAGGGCUGCAUGCUGCCCAGGUAGCAGUCCCACCGAUCUAGCCACCAAGCUCUUUCUGAGGACUCACUGUGUGCCAGCCUCUGCUCUCCGCUCUCCAGUGGUCUGGGGAGGAGACCAGCAAGGAGACAGGCGGAAAAUGCAGCUCAGAAAGCCUUGCCUCAAGGAGUACUUGCUUCCCUGGUUUGCAGAACCAGGAGGAGAACUCAGAUCCCAGUUUCCCCAGAUGCCCUGUCCUGCUGGGCACAAACAGGGUGGAGCUAUCUUUCGUAUUCAGGCCCCACACAGCCGCAGCAUAGGAUGUGUGCACACGGUGCACGUCUAACAAU
Molecule: long non-coding RNA, 1598 nt
Organism: Canis lupus familiaris (dog)
Lineage: Eukaryota; Metazoa; Chordata; Mammalia; Carnivora; Canidae
Exons: 3
Source: RefSeq, a predicted model, not a curated record